RNAcentral lists this long non-coding RNA (787 nucleotides) under Glycine max (soybean). RNAcentral describes it as "long non-coding RNA (GMAX_LNC002797)". The record is from RNAcentral. Lineage: Eukaryota; Viridiplantae; Streptophyta; Magnoliopsida; Fabales; Fabaceae.
UUUGCUUGGUUAAUGCUUUGUGAUAGUUAUUUGUGAAGAGAUUUGACGAAAGCAUGCUAAACUUGUUAUGUUUGAGUGAGUUAAGCUUACCCAUUCAGUUUUAGGGUUUUUAUGAUGAUGCUUUUGAUGUUGGUGUGCUGAAAUUGCUUAUGGAAAACUGCUAGGGAUGAAGGGUAGAGUUAACCUAGGGUUAGAAAGUGAGAAUAUGGUGUUAUGAGUGGAAAAAGAGUGAGUUUUUGAGAGUUGGAAGGCCAAAUCUGGAUUUAGUGGUAUUUGGAGGUUAAAGUGAGUUAAUCCUAGUUUGAAAUGUCAUUUAGGACUUAUGAGGAAGCUUGGGCUGUGCAAGAGAGAAAAACAAAUGACCAAAGUGAACAAAGAGCCAUUUCUAGGGUAAAAUUGGGUGUUGAGGAGUCAAAUUUUGGUUCGGUGGAAUUUUAGGUGUAAAUCCAAUUUGAACAAGUUUAAAUUGAUGUUAUAGACUUGUGUGAGGUGAGAGUUUGCUCCAAAUUUACCCCAUUCUCAAUUUCACUUCUCAAACCUUGAAAAUCCAUUAAAUUGAGGGGUUUUGGAUACCUAGAUUUUGUGUUGCUUUAGUCUGAAGCUUGUCCUUGGUUUAGACAUGAUUGAUACAUGAUUUGGGACUUGUAGGAUUCGAUUUGGGCAAAAUUGGAUGAAGGCAAGAGUGGUUUUCGAAAUCUGCACUUUAUGCAGAAUUUUGCUGUUGAAAUGUGCAGCAGAAUUUUGUAUAAGUGCAGAAAAAUGCUUGUGUAUGGCUGGUUGUGAAAAG